Long non-coding RNA from Mytilus californianus (California mussel), 2490 nucleotides. RefSeq lists it as uncharacterized. The record is from RefSeq and is a predicted model, not a curated record. Lineage: Eukaryota; Metazoa; Mollusca; Bivalvia; Mytilida; Mytilidae. The transcript has 9 exons.
AAAAAAAAUUUUGCUUUCCUUCUCAUAAGAAAAAAAAUAUUUUAUCGGAGGAAGGUUCUGAAAAAAAAAUUAUGAACACAAUGAAAAUCCCAGGCCCCCCCAGAUAAGAAAAUGGUUGUUGCCUUAAAAUAAACAUACAUGGACCAUAGGAAAGUAAUAAAAUUAUAAAAUGUUUUAUUUGUAACCCACUGAUAGUCCCCACUGUAUGCAAAUUACAAUUAUUUUAGUCAUUUCAAGAAAUUAAAAUCAGUGAGGUGGGGAUCGUAUAAUAGGUUUUAGCACGCUGAUUCAAUGAAGUGUCAAGGUCGUCAUAAUAAUGUUUUAGUUUGCCAUCACUUCCUGGGUAUAUGCACAAGGAUAUGUCUUUUUUACCCUCUUUGCCAUGGUUGAGGAAAAGGAAGAAAGAUAUCGAUGGACAUGGUGGAUUGGAAUACAGAUCAGACCAGACGGCGGACAGUCAAAUAGACAAGUGACACAGAAGAUGACUACAUUGAUGUUAGAAAAGCAAAGCACAAAAUAGCCAGGAAACAUGAAAAAACAUCAAAGGUAUUAAAAGACAAGGAGACUGACUUCAAUGUUAUAAACAGCCUUGUGAGAAAAAAUGUUUAAGUACCAGUAACAUUCAGACAAUACAGACCUGUCAAGCUAUGUUGUAUAAAAAGACCCAUGAGGAACAGUCAGAUUUCAUUGAGUGAAACAUAAGGUGCAAUGAUGCCAGUUUAGAAGACAAACAGUUGACUUUUGUGCUGACUGGUAGGAGAGUAUGUGAAUAUGCAUGGAGGAUUGUGUAUGGCAUAAAAAGAAGGAGGUAUUACUACAUGAAAAAGAAAUGUUUGUCUACUAACGAAGAUUUAGACAGUUCUGAUAAAAGAUGUAGCCAACAAUACAAGAGUCGCCAGUACCUUGAAGCAAAGAGUUUUGUGUCUGGUCUAUGCAAGAGAUAUGGUGAUGAUCAGCCUGACAUACUAGAAAUACAUUUUCCAUCAUGUCUCUCUAUUCUACAAGUUUGGACGGAUUAUAAAUCUUCCUGUGAGAAUUUAGAAUCCCCUAUUUGUCUUACCCAAGGUUCUAUGGAAUGUGGAGUGAAGAGUUUCAUCAUGUUAAAAUUCCAAAGUAUCAGAAGCUCAGCAAAUGUAACGAGUGUGUAAUCUUGAAAGAGACCAUCAGCGAAAAACUGACAAAGAUUGAUUUGGGGUGUUGAAGGACAAGAGAAGAUCUAGAGCACAUAUGCUUCUUCAAUAUCUCUGCAGAGAAAAAUAUUUUAAACACAUCAAGAAAUCCAAAGAACAUCCAAGCAUGUAUACAUCUGUUAUCAGUGACAAUAUGGAUCAGUCCAAAACAAAUCUGCCAAGAUUUACGUUACAUUUUAAGAAUGAAACACUUGAAAAAAUGCACCACCAUGUCACAGGUGUUUUAUGUCACGGAUUAAAUAAGGCAUACACAUUUACAUGGACAGAUCAGUUUUCCUCUGAUUGUAAUAUCACCUUGAAUUGUUUGAUGUCUGUGUUAGGCGAUGUAAAGUUCACAUGCAGGAGAAAAACACAUUUUUAUUAACUUUACAAUUUAUGUAUCUACAAGAAAGUCAAAGUGUAUGGAAGCCACUUUUAGUCCAUUAAUUUUAAACAUCAAAGAACCAUCUACAAUAUAAAAAUUAAGAGAUGUGGUAUGAUUGCCAAUGAGACAACUAUCCAAAGAGUUCACAUGAUAAAGUCAUGAAAAAUAACAGAUGAGUCCAAUCUAGCAUAUCAUAUUAAAUUGGAAAUAAUAAUUUGACAAGGUUGCUUUAAAACCCUUAAAGUUGGAUACAUCGAUAUCACUAACAGUUAUAAACUUAUAUGAACUUUUCAUUAUUGGACUGUGUGGUGCCAAGUUUGCAACAAGUAUGGAAAUCAGUAUGAAAUUUUGGUGGCUUCAUUUUCAUGACUAUGAUAAACAUCAUAAGAGGAUAGGCCUAUAAUUGCUUUUCUUUUAUGAAUACAAUUAUAGUAUUGUUCUUAACCCUGCUUUGUAGGCUUUUCUCAAAAUCAAUACUUAAAAGUCAUUGACAGAUGUGGUGGGUGUAAUGUUGCUAUAUAUUUCAUAUAAAAAUAAGGAUAGGUAUGAUUGCCAAUGAAACAAUUAUGCAUAAAGACUAACGGACAAUGAUGUUGACUAUUGCAGGUCAAAGUAUGGCCUUCUGCAGUGAGCAAAACCCAUACCCUAUACUUAGCUAAAAUGCCAUGUGAUGACAAAAUGGAAAACAAAUUCAAAAAAGAAAACCAACAGCAUACUUGUGUCAAUCUCUUGCUGACCCUGAUAGUUUUAAAAAACAAUUCUGAAAGUCUAUUUUGUUUACUUUUGCACUUGAACACUAUGUAAAUCUCAUUUGAUGGAGGAUUAUUUUCACAUUCACAUUUCUGAAUUAUAUAUAUAUCUAAAUGCAUGAACAUCUAUAUGCAUGAACAUUAUUAAUAAUAUAGUCUAUAAAUUUCAAUUGCAUUUUUAUUUUCU